This is an RNA transcript of Medicago truncatula (barrel medic), 1449 nucleotides long. RefSeq lists it as uncharacterized. The record is from RefSeq and is a predicted model, not a curated record. The transcript is spliced from 5 exons. Lineage: Eukaryota; Viridiplantae; Streptophyta; Magnoliopsida; Fabales; Fabaceae.
CAAUUUAUUAUUUUUCUCAAAUCACACACAAACACACACAACACUCUUUCUCUCUCUUCUUCCCUCGCUCAACCAAUAUAAAUUCACAAUCCAAAGAAAAAAAAAAUCUUCAAUUAAAGUGAGAAAUUUUUUGCUUAGGGUUUUGUUUUUCACAAUCCCAAGGUUAAAUCUCGCUUCAAUUCUCCAUAUAAGAGCAAAAAAAUUAGGGUUUUUGAUUCUGAUUCUUGAAAAAAAAUCGAAUCAUUUUUUGAGAUACCCAGAAGGGUAAUUAGGGUUUAUAGAGAAAAAGUGAAGUGGGUUUGAAGAAAGUUUGGAUUUUUUUUGGUUUGAAAGAUGACGGAUGUGAUACUGCAUAUAUAUGAUGUAACGAAUAGUGGAUCCGAGAAAGCUAAUAAUACCAUUCUUCAGAUCAAUAAGAUCUUUAAGGAUGGUAUUGGUCUUGGUGGCAUUUUUCAUAGUGCUGUUCAGGUUUUUGGAGAAGAUGAAUGGUCAUUUGGAUACUGCGAGCAAGGUAGUGGAGUUUUUAGCUGCCCAUCUGGACAGAAUCCAAUGUAUACCUAUCGUGAAUCCAUUGUUCUAGGGAAAACAAACUUUCCCAUUUUCAAGGUAAAUCAAAUAAUAAGAGAACUCAGUAGAGAGUGGCCUGGAACUGCAUAUGAUCUGUUGUCCAAAAACUGCAACCACUUCUGUGAUGAAUUCUGUGAACGGCUCGAUGUACCAAAACUUCCAGGUUGGGUUAAUAGGUUUGCUAAUGCUGGUGAUACUGCCAUGGAAGUUGCUGGGAAUACGGCAUUACGGUUCCGACAAGCGAAAACAGAGAUUGUAUCAGCAAGCAAAGUAGCAUACAGGUUCCUCCUAGGCGUUACAAACAACGUUACUAACAAUGUUACAAACAAUAUCAAAACAGGUCCCGAUUCCCCCAACAAUUCAAACAGGGGGGAGUCAUCCCCAAGAUUUCAAGCUUCUUGGUUGAAAAACAUGAUUACCAAUGGUGCAAAACCAUCUACUAGUUCAGAUGCUGAGAAUCACAAUGGAGCUGUUCCUUUACAACCAACAAGAGAAGAUGACAAGGCUCUGCUACAUAGUUCAUCUUCGCGUCAUGAUAGUUGAUGGAAAGGAAUCUGUGUCAAAAAUGUUUAGCGUUACUUUCUGAUGUGUAUUCUAUUAUGUUGUAAGUCACAAAAAGGAAACAGAAUUUUUUUCAUGGUAUUCAUAGUGUAUCAAAUGUAUAAUUUUCAUUUGUUGUUCAACUUCAAAUCUUAAUAUUGGUGCCUCCUGAAACUAUGUUCAAUGAAUAUCAAAGCUGCAGUGUACAAUGAUGGUAGUAACAAUUUGGAGUGGAUCAUUGAAAUUUUCAUGAAGGUUUUUUUUGUUUUGUUUCUCUUCAUGUACAUUUGUAAAUUUAGAUUUAGAUUGGUAUACUUGUUUAUAGUGUUUGGUUUGAUAUGA